AGCCUGAUGCAGCGACGCCGCGUGAGGGAUGGAGGCCUUCGGGUUGUAAACCUCUUUCGCCAGUGAAGCAGGCCUGCUCCUUGUGGGUGGGUUGACGGUAGCUGGAUAAGAAGCGCCGGCUAACUACGUGCCAGCAGCCGCGGUAAUACGUAGGGCGCGAGCGUUGUCCGGAAUUAUUGGGCGUAAAGAGCUCGUAGGCGGCUGGUCGCGUCUGUCGUGAAAUCCUCUGGCUUAACUGGGGGCUUGCGGUGGGUACGGGCCGGCUUGAGUGCGGUAGGGGAGACUGGAACUCCUGGUGUAGCGGUGGAAUGCGCAGAUAUCAGGAAGAACACCGGUGGCGAAGGCGGGUCUCUGGGCCGUUACUGACGCUGAGGAGCGAAAGCGUGGGGAGCGAACAGGAUUAGAUACCCUGGUAGUCCACGCCGUAAACGUUGGGCACUAGGUGUGGGGGGCCUUUCCGGGUCUUCCGCGCCGUAACCUAACGCAUUAAGUGCCCCGCCUGGGGAGUACGGCCGCCAAGGCUAAACUCAAAGGAAUUGACGGGG
RNAcentral lists this ribosomal RNA (545 nucleotides) under Actinomyces sp. oral taxon 177. RNAcentral's name for it is "bacterial SSU rRNA". It matches the Rfam family "Bacterial small subunit ribosomal RNA", at positions 380 to 918 of the family's 1533-position model. The record is from RNAcentral. Lineage: Bacteria; Bacillati; Actinomycetota; Actinomycetes; Actinomycetales; Actinomycetaceae.